This 1854-nucleotide long non-coding RNA is filed under the name Aquilegia coerulea. Its description in RNAcentral is "long non-coding RNA (ACOE_LNC000379)". Lineage: Eukaryota; Viridiplantae; Streptophyta; Magnoliopsida; Ranunculales; Ranunculaceae. The record is from RNAcentral.
ACAAACAUGAAGCUGUUGUGUUAACAAGACGUCUGUUUUAUUAGAUCAAGUACAAAAAAAAUCAUAUUCACAAGAAUCUUAUAUGGCAGGAGUAAAAAAAGGGUACAUAGAUUCGCUAAGUCUCCAAUCCAAAAGGCAUCAACAAUAAUAUAACAAUUAUAGUACAUUUUAGGACUUAUAAAAUGGGAGCUUGAUAGAAUGUAAAGCUCCUGUCAAUAUGAAAACAUGCAGAUCUGCACAAGGAAAGCUGGAAGAUAAAUACAGAUAUUGUUGCUACAAAAAUACCAUAAACUACCUUUCAACUCAUAAUUGAUCCUGUUCUUGCAUCUGAUACCUAUAAACACUCCUUGCUGACAUUCGCCCAGCAGAGUUGUACCAUCUACAACUUUGAAUGAUCUGGAACGUAUGCCAAACAGACAAGGAAGAAUAUUGUAAACAAUCACUUUAAGAUUUCACUCCAAGUUGUGCAAAGCUUAAAUAUUAGAUAAUUGAGAGAAGAACACAUACAGAAGAGAACAGAUGCUCUUGUGGCAGGCAAACUGUACUCGUAUAGAAGCAAAGUAUGAGUAGCUUCAGCCAAGGGUGUGAUGUUUGGAGCUUAACAAUAGUUGUUGAGUAUAUGUCUGAUGUGGAAAAUGAUGCCUAUACAGAAUGUAGGAAGAUGAUUCCCAUUUAAUUGUCACUGGUAUGUGAUUGUAUCAUUGGAACAGAUGGCACCCCAGAUCAAAGGCAGAUCAUCCCCUACACAAUCCAGCUACACUCUACUGCUUGUACAGUUGUGCGGUAUCUGAAAAAGGAAAGUUUGUUUGUUAUCUGCAAAAUAAGCAUUUAAAUGUGCCAGUAUAUUGGAUGUUUGACUAUGCUGAAAACGUUAAUUGAAUAAAACUUCAAGUAUGCUUCCUUCAAAAUUUCAAAUUAACCUUCAUGAGCACAUUUCUGUCUUUAGUAUAAAGGGUUUUUACAGCAUACCAUUACGAUUUUCUAAGUAGGAUUCCAACGAAAUUUUUUGAUUGUCUAACUAAAUAUCAACAACUGAAACUCUGAGAGCCUUUGAAUUUCCUUAAGCACAAAAUUUUAUAAGCAGCCUCCAGCUGAACUGCAUUAAUCUCAAGGAUAGGGCAGGCGUCCAAUUAUAAAAUAAUUAUAGAUGAAACACUUGUUUGAAAUAUAUGUACCAGAACUAUCAUUACUAUUUAAAUAGUAGCAAAGAAAAUCAUAAACACAUUAGAUAUUACAAACUAACACCCGUAUCCCAUUCCUUUAGAUACUGCACUAUAAGAAUCAAGAUCUUGCUCGGCCAUUUUAUAUAGCAGGUGAUGCUCUGACUCAGAUGUUCAACAUUUUGCAUACAAAAUAAUUUAACAAGUCCAUGCUUGUGAAUCAGGCUCUAAACCAGUUCUUAUCACAUGGCCAAAUAAAUGUCUUACCUUCUAAUCCGGUACAAAUAUGAAUCAAACGUGAAUAAAAUAUAAUAUACGGUACACAUAUUAUUUGGCAUUUUUGUAGUAAAGACUUGUUUCUGAGUACGUACCUGAUCAUUUUCAGCUCAAAUUCCUCUCAAAUCAUGUUGAGUGAUUCUAGAUACAAAAAGUAAGUAUGGUUGACAGAUCAUCAAAACUGUUCAAUCAAAUAAGAUUGUGAUAUGAUGCAAUGCACCCACAGCCAUCCCGAACCCUCAAAAGUUGCCAUUCUCAAUUAUGUUUAGAUUUUUAUGUUUUUAUGGUUUUGGACAUGCUUGGUUUAUAAUCUUUAGAAGGUGGUGGACAUGUUUAGAUUUUAUAUGCUAAUGGCUUUGGACAUAUUUUUAUUUAUGAAUAUGAAUUUUAAACUUAUGUAGAAUUUUUCUUGUUUUCU